GUCAUAUUCCGGCUCCCGCGGUAUCAGAAGGCAGCCGCGAGGGAGCAGAGCAGAGAGGUUAGAGCUCCCUCGCCGCGUCUGAUCACAGCACUGCCGCACUGGACCCCAGGGAAUGAUUCAUCAUCCACACCAGCUCUCCAGGUAGGGAGGCAGGGUGGAAAAUGUUUAUUUAUUAAAAUAAUUAGUGAGUGUGUCUGUGAGUGUAUGUGUGUCUGUGAGUGUAUGUGUGUCUGUGAGUGAUUGUAUGAGUACUGCAUGUGAGUGUAUGAGUGUGGCAGUGUAUGUGUGUCUGUCAGUGUGUGUUUGUGAGUGUCUGUCAAAUCAGUGAGAGUAUCUUUGUCAUUGAGUCUGUGUGUGAGUAUCAGUGUGUCUGUCAAUGAAUGAGUGUCUGUCUGUGUGUGAGUGUCUGUGUGUGACUGUGUGUGUAUGUGUGUCUGUGUGUGAGUGUAUGUGUGACUGUGUGCCUGUGAGUGACUGUGAUUGAGUGUGUGUCUGUGUGCGAGUGUAUGUGUGCAUGAGUAUGUGUGUCUGUGAGUGUGUGUGCAUGAGUGUAUGUGUGUGUCUGUGAGUGAUUGUAUGAGUACUGCAUGUGAGUGUAUGAGUGUGGCAGUGUAUGUGUGUCUGUCAGUGUGUGUUUGUGAGUGUCUGUCAAAUCAGUGAGAGUAUCUUUGUCAUUGAGUCUGUGUGUGAGUAUCAGUGUGUCUGUCAAUGAAUGAGUGUGUCUGUCUGUGUGUGAGUGUCUGUGUGUGACUGUGUGUGUGUGUAUGUGUGUCUGUGUGUGAGUGUAUGUGUGCCUGUGAAUGACUGUGAUUGAGUGUGUGUCUGUGUGCGAGUGUAUGUGUGCAUGAGUAUGUGUGUCUGUGAGUGUGUGUGCAUGAGUGUAUGUGUGUGUCUGUGAGUGAUUGUAUGUGUGUCUGUCAGUGUGUGUUUGUGAGUGUCUGUCAAAUCAGUGAGAGUAUCUUUGUCAUUGAGUCUGUGUGUGAGUAUCAGUGUGUCUGUCAAUGAAUGAGUGUGUCUGUCUGUGUGUGAGUGUCUGUGUGUGACUGUGUGUGUGUGUAUGUGUGUCUGUGUGUGAGUGUAUGUGUGCCUGUGAGUGACUGUGAUUGAGUGUGUGUCUGUGUGCGAGUGUAUGUGUGCAUGAGUAUGUGUGUCUGUGAGUGUGUGUGCAUGAGUGUAUGUGUGUGUCUGUGAGUGAUUGUAUGAGUACUGCAUGUGAGUGUAUGAGUGUGGCAGUGUAUGUGUGUCUGUCAGUGUGUGUUUGUGAGUGUCUGUCAAAUCAGUGAGAGUAUCUUUGUCAUUGAGUCUGUGUGUGAGUAUCAGUAUGUCUGUCAAUUAAUGAGUGUGUGUCAGAUCAGUGAGUCUGUGUGUUUGUCAUUGAGUGUGUGUGACUGUCAGUGUGUAUAGACCACUGAGUGUUGCGUGGCGGAGCGCAGUACAGGAGCUUCUGUUUCCUGUACCCGGCCAGACUGACCGGAGGUGCUCACUGAGAGAGCACUCCCUGUCAGUCUGGCCAGGUACAGAAAAUUGAAGCUCC
This is a non-coding RNA of Pelobates cultripes (western spadefoot toad), 1534 nucleotides long. The record is from the annotation of a GenBank genome assembly. Lineage: Eukaryota; Metazoa; Chordata; Amphibia; Anura; Pelobatidae.